CCGGAUCGCAGCCACCGCCACCGUCUGGAUCGCCGCCGCCGUCACACAGAAGACAGUGCAGGAGCUGCCACCACCUACGCUAAAACCACCUGAGCGCCGCAACAAGAGUGCACAGUUACAUAUGACGAAUCCACAAAGCAAGGCAACGGAACAGACAACAGCGGAGGAUGUACCUUCAGGAGUCCAUACUACUUUGUCGGAACGGAGAUCCUUGAACAGACCGAAUGUGAUAGCACAUAUGAUGCUCCAGGCCCGAUGGAGGGGACAAAUGUUGCCGAGAUGUUGACAAUAUAUACCCAAGUGGUCUAG
Long non-coding RNA from Triticum aestivum (bread wheat), 309 nucleotides. RefSeq lists it as uncharacterized. NCBI's taxonomy places the organism in Eukaryota, Viridiplantae, Streptophyta, Magnoliopsida, Poales, Poaceae. The record is from RefSeq and is a predicted model, not a curated record. The transcript has 4 exons.